UGGGGAAUAUUGCGCAAUGGGCGAAAGCCUGACGCAGCGACGCCGCGUGAGGGAUGAAGGCCUUCGGGUCGUAAACCUCUUUCAGCAGGGAAGAAGCGAAAGUGACGGUACCUGCAGAAGAAGCACCGGCUAACUACGUGCCAGCAGCCGCGGUAACACGUAGGGUGCAAGCGUUGUCCGGAAUUAUUGGGCGUAAAGAGCUCGUAGGCGGUCUGUCGCGUCUGCUGUGAAAACUCAGGGCUUAACCCUGAGCUUGCAGUGGGUACGGGCAGACUAGAGUGCGGUAGGGGAGACUGGAAUUCCUGGUGUAGCGGUGAAAUGCGCAGAUAUCAGGAGGAACACCGGUGGCGAAGGCGGGUCUCUGGGCCGUAACUGACGCUGAGGAGCGAAAGCAUGGGGAGCGAACAGGAUUAGAUACCCUGGUAGUCCAUGCCGUAAACGUUGGGCGCUAGGUGUGGGGCUCAUUCCACGAGUUCCGUGCCGCAGCUAACG
RNAcentral lists this ribosomal RNA (492 nucleotides) under uncultured Actinomycetes bacterium. RNAcentral's name for it is "bacterial SSU rRNA". It matches the Rfam family "Bacterial small subunit ribosomal RNA", at positions 355 to 857 of the family's 1533-position model. Lineage: Bacteria; Bacillati; Actinomycetota; Actinomycetes. The record is from RNAcentral.